Molecule: ribosomal RNA, 403 nt
Filed under: uncultured bacterium
Lineage: Bacteria
Description: bacterial SSU rRNA
Rfam family: Bacterial small subunit ribosomal RNA
Source: RNAcentral
AGGGAAUAUUGCGCAAUGGGGGAAACCCUGACGCAGCGACGCCGCGUGAGUGAUGAAGGCCUUCGGGUCGUAAAGCUCUGUCGCAAGGGAAUAACAAAAUGAAUGUACUUUGCAAGAAAGGAUCGGCUAACUUCGUGCCAGCAGCCGCGGUAAGACGAGGGAUCCUAGCGUUGUUCGGAAUCAUUGGGCGUAAAGCGGGUGUAGGUGGCUACAUAAGUCAGAUGUGAAAGCCUUGGGCUUAACCCAAGAAGUGCAUUUGAUACUGUGUAGCUUGAGUGUGGUAGAGGCUGCUAGAAUUCCUGGUGUAGUGGUGAAAUACGUAGAUAUCAGGAGGAAUACCGGAGGCGAAGGCGGGUAGCUGGGCCAACACUGACACUGAGACCCGAAAGCGUGGGGAUCAAAC